UGAAAGCACCAAACCAUGGCUUCCCUUCAAUCUUCUUUCUCCAAGGUGCUGGGGCACCAACCCCAACCCCAACCCCCGGAAUACCCCAUUUUCCAAGCCCUCCCAGCUCGCCAGCAGCAAUGCAAGGCGGAGCCACCGCUUUCAGGUGUCAUGCAGCAGCGGCGGGGGCGGCGGUAUAGACCGCCGAAACAUGCUCCUCGGUCUUGGAGGGCUGUACGGCGCAAGCAGCCUCGUCUCCGACCGCAAAGCUAAUGCGGAUCCUAUUGCACCUCCUGACCUGAGCUCGUGCGACGCCCAAGGUGCGACUACUACUAAGGACGGGCAGGUGGUGAGUCUGGACGUCAACUGCUGCCCACCCUUCACCGAUGUGCAGAAUGACUACAAGCUUCCCAAGUUCAGCAAGCCCCGCGUGAGGCAGUCAGCUCACCGCCUGAGCCCGGCUAACAUAGACAAGUACAACAGAGCCAUGGCGAAGAUGAGGGAGCUGGACGUGACGGACCCCGACGAUCCCCGCGGCUUCACUCAGCAAGCCAACGUCCACUGCGCUUACUGCAACGGCCCCUACGACCAGGUCGGCUUCCCCGGCGUGGAUCUGCAGGUUCACAACUCCUGGAUCUUCUUCCCCUUCCACAGGUGGUACCUCUAUUUCUACGAGAGGAUCUUGGGCGAACUGAUCGGCGACCCCACCUUCGCCCUGCCCUACUGGAACUGGGACAACCCAAGGGGCAUGAGCAUGCCGCCGGCCUUCGACAACACCGCCUCCGCGCUCUACGACCAGAACCGCAACCAACUGCACCGCCGCCCCGCCGUGGUGGAUCUGGCCCUGAACAGCGGCAUCACCGACCCCGUGCAGAUGAUCUCCAACAAUCUGACUCUCAUGUACAAGGAGAUGAUCGGGGACGUGGAGUCCGCCAUCGACUUCAUGGGGACGGAAUACAGGGCUGGAGACGCGCCGCACGCCUUCCCCCUGGGAGGCACUUCCGAGAGAGGGUCCCACACCGGCAUCCACGUGUGGGUCGGAGACCCCGACAACGAGUUCAACGAAGACAUGGGCAACUUCUACUCCGCCGGCAGGGACCCUAUGUUCUACUGCCAUCACGCUAACGUCGACAGAAUGUGGACCAUCUGGGAUGGCAUCCCCGCCGACUACUCCAAGAAGAUCGACGACGCCGAUUUGAAGAACGCCGCCUUCAUGUUCUACGACGAGAAGAAGAACCUGGUGCGCGUCAGGGCCGGAGACUGCUUCGACCACAAGAAAAUGGGAUACGUGUACCAACACAGCGAUACUCCAUGGAUGAACUACAGGGCGCCUCAGAAGACCGUCCCGGUCAAUCUCAAGGACAUCUCCAAGGGAGUGAAGACUGUAGACAAAGUCUUCCCUCUCAAACCCACCAAGACUGCCAAGGUUUUGGUGUCCAAACCAACCAAAGGCAAAGCCGACGAAGUGCUGGUGCUGGAGAACAUUGUGACCGACAACACCAAGCUCGUCAAGUUCGAUGUGUUCAUCAAUGAUGAAGACGACAAGCCGGAGGAGCUGGACAGGGCGGAGUACGUUGGGGCCUUCACGCAGCUGCCCCACAGGGUUAAGGCCAAGGAAAGCGUCGCCAACCUUCGCUUGAACUUGAAGGAAGUCUACGAGAACAUUAACAUCGCCGAUGAUGAUGCCGUCGUGGUCACCAUCGUUCCCCAAAUCAACGGCAACGCCGUCACCAUUGGUGGUAUUAAGAUCAUCCCGCGUGCAAAAUAGUCUGCAUCCAUCGCCAUGUUUCUCGGCACGCUUUCUCCAUGUUGCUUGAGAUUUGUCGACUUUUAAAAUUUCCACGUGUUUUGUGUGCUCAAUAAGCCUUUUGUUUGAAUAAUUAUGUUUCUGUAUGGGUUCCCACUACUAAUGAACGAAACAUCUGUGUUUUUAAGAA
Salvia miltiorrhiza (redroot sage) is the source of this 1916-nucleotide RNA transcript. It is a transcript of the gene named polyphenol oxidase I, chloroplastic-like, with no coding region annotated. The transcript has a single exon. NCBI's taxonomy places the organism in Eukaryota, Viridiplantae, Streptophyta, Magnoliopsida, Lamiales, Lamiaceae. The record is from RefSeq and is a predicted model, not a curated record.